UCCCAAACCCAAUGGUGAACGUUACCAAACUGUUGCCUCGGCGGGAUCUCUGCCCCGGGUGCGUCGCAGCCCCGGACCAAGGCGCCCGCCGGAGGACCAACCAAAACUCUUAUUGUAUACCCCCUCGCGGGUUUUUUUAUAAUCUGAGCCUUCUCGGCGCCCCUCGUGGGCGUUUCGAAAAUGAAUCAAAACUUUCAACAACGGAUCUCUUGGUUCUGGCAUCGAUGAAGAACGCAGCGAAAUGCGAUAAGUAAUGUGAAUUGCAGAAUUCAGUGAAUCAUCGAAUCUUUGAACGCACAUUGCGCCCGCCAGUAUUCUGGCGGGCAUGCCUGUCCGAGCGUCAUUUCAACCCUCGAACCCCUCCGGGGGGUCGGCGUUGGGGAUCGGCCCUCCCUCUGCGGGGGCCGUCUCCGAAAUACAGUGGCGGUCUCGCCGCAGCCUCUCCUGCGCAGUAGUUUGCACACUCGCACCGGGAGCGCGGCGCGUCCACAGCCGUUAAACACCCCAACUUUCUGAAAUGUUGACCUCGGAUCAGGUAGGAAUACCCGCUGAACUUAAGCAUAUCAAUAAGCGGAGG
This 577-nucleotide ribosomal RNA is filed under the name Trichoderma sp. MKZ-2007a. RNAcentral describes it as "eukaryotic LSU rRNA". The stretch from base 190 to 343 matches the Rfam family "5.8S ribosomal RNA". Lineage: Eukaryota; Fungi; Ascomycota; Sordariomycetes; Hypocreales; Hypocreaceae. The record is from RNAcentral.